This is a non-coding RNA of Felis catus (domestic cat), 85 nucleotides long. Lineage: Eukaryota; Metazoa; Chordata; Mammalia; Carnivora; Felidae. The record is from Rfam.
GCCUGGGUGGCUCAGUCGGUUGAGCGUCCGACUUCAGCUCAGGUCCCGAUCUCACGGUUCGUGAGUUCGAGCCCCGCAUCGGGCU